RNAcentral lists this transfer RNA (73 nucleotides) under Bartonella tamiae Th239. It matches the Rfam family "tRNA". From Rfam's summary of the family: Transfer RNA (tRNA) molecules are approximately 80 nucleotides in length. Their secondary structure includes four short double-helical elements and three loops (D, anti-codon, and T loops). Lineage: Bacteria; Pseudomonadati; Pseudomonadota; Alphaproteobacteria; Hyphomicrobiales; Bartonellaceae. The record is from Rfam by way of RNAcentral.
AGGGGUAUAGCUCAGUUGGUAGAGCGGCGGUCUCCAAAACCGCAGGUCGCGGGUUCGAAGCCUGCUGCCCCUG